GGGGAAUAUUGCACAAUGGACGCAAGUCUGAUGCAGCAACUCCGCGUGAGUGAAGAAGGCCCUUGGGUUGUAAAGCUCUUUAGAGUGGAAAGAAGUGCCUGUCGGCGAAUAGCUAGCAGGUGUGACGGUACCACUAGAAUAAGCACCGGCUAAUUUCGUGCCAGCAGCCGCGGUAAUACGAAAGGUGCAAGCGUUACUCGGAAUCACUGGGCGUAAAGCGCGCGUAGGCGGUCUCGUAUGUCGAUUGUGAAAGCCCCGGGCUCAACCUGGGAACUGCAGCCGAAACUGCGGGACUUGAAUGUUGGAGAGGGUGGGGGAAUACCUGGUGGAGAAGUGAAAUUCGUAGAGAUUAGGUGGAACACCAGAGGCGAAGGCGCCUGCCUGGCCAAACAUUGACGCUGAGGCGCGAAAGCGUGGGGAGCAAA
Molecule: ribosomal RNA, 425 nt
Filed under: uncultured bacterium
Lineage: Bacteria
Description: bacterial SSU rRNA
Rfam family: Bacterial small subunit ribosomal RNA
Source: RNAcentral